CGGGAAGAUGUCACGGGCGCACGGCGGAUGCCUUGGCACAGGGAGCCGACGAAGGACGCGACAAGCUGCGAUAAGCCGCGGUGAGGGGCACAUGCCCUGCGACCCGCGGAUCUCCGAAUGGGCGAACCCGCAUGGAGCAGUCCAUGCAUCCCGGGCCCGAACACAUAGGGCCCGGGAGGACAACCCGGGGAACUGAAACAUCUAAGUACCCGGAGGAGAGGAAAUCAAUUUCGAGAUCCCCCAAGUAGCGGCGAGCGAACGGGGGCCUAGGCCAAACCUGGGAGCGCCGACGGGCCGGAGGGGCCCGGCGCCCCGGGGGUUGCAGGGCCGCGCGCGGCAGGGCCUUCCGCCCUGCCCGGGGAGGCAUCGAGGGGAGCCGAACGGCAUGGGAAGGCCGACGGCACAGGGUUAGAGUCCCGUAGGCGCACCCUCGGAUGUCCCCCGAACGCGGUCCCUGAGUAGGGCCGGGCACGUGAAACCCGGUCCGAAUCUGGGUGGACCACCAUCCAAGCCUGAAUACUCCCCUGUGACCGAUAGCGAACGAGUACCGUGAGGGAAAGGUGAAAAGCACCCCGGGAGGGGAGUGAAACAGCACCUGAAACCGUGCGCCCACAAGCAGUCGGAGCGGCCCCUUCGGGAGCCGUGACGGCGUGCCUUUUGUAGAAUGAGCCAGCGAGCUGCCGGCGCGGGGCGAGGCGAAGCUUUGAAGCGAGCCGCAGCGAAAGCGAGUCCGAACAGGGCGACCGUGAAGUCCCGCGCCGCAGGCGCGAAGCCGGGUGAGCUAUCCGCGGGCAGGCUGAAGCGGGGGUAAGACCCCGUGGAGGGCCGAACGCACGUCGGUUGAAAACGGCGGCGAUGACCCGCGGAUAGGGGUGAAAGGCCAAUCAAACCCGGAGAUAUCUCGUUCUCCCCGAAAUAGCUUUAGGGCUAGCGUCGCGCGAUCGCCGCCGGAGGUAGAGCACCGGAUCGGUGAGGGGGCCUCACCGCCUGCCGAGCCGAACCGAACUCCGAAUGCCGGCGGCCGCGAGCGCGGCAGUCAGAGCGCGUGGGCUAAGCCGCGCGCUCGAGAGGGAAACAGCCCAGACCGCCCGCUAAGGUCCCCAAUUCCCGGCUGAGUGGCAAAGGAUGUGCGUCCGCGCAGACAACCAGGAUGUUGGCUCAGAAGCAGCCACGCAUUGAAAGAGUGCGUAACAGCUCACUGGUCGAGUGGACAUGCGCCGACAAUACACGGGGCUAAGCCGGGAACCGAAGCGGCGGACGGCGCCACUGACGUGGCGUCGUGGUAGGGGAGCGUCCCGAGCGGGGCGAAGCCGGCGGGCGACCGCCGGUGGACCGCCCGGGAGCGAGAAUGCUGGCAUGAGUAGCGAGAGACGAGAGAGAAACUCGUCCGCCGUAAACCCGAGGUUUCCUGGGCGAGGCUAAUCCUCCCAGGGUCAGUCGGGGGCUAAGGCGAGGCCGGAAGGCGUAGCCGAUGCGCAGCAGGCGAAUAUUCCUGCACCGCGCGCGCGCCGCGUGACCGACGGGGCGACGGAUCGGGGUAGCUCGGCGGGGUUCUGGACGUCCCCGUGAUGGAGCGCGGCCCGACGGGGAGGGAAAUCCCCCCGUCAUGAGGGCGAGGCUCCGGACGAAGCGACUGAGUGAAGCGAGCGAGCCCGGGUCCCGAGAAAAACCCCUAAGGAAGGCGCGCGCGCGCCCGUACCGCAAACCGACACAGGUGGGUGGGUAGAACAUACCGAGGCGAUCGGGUCAACCAUGGUCAAGGAACUCGGCACAAUGGCCCCGUAACCUAGGGAGAAGGGGUGCCGCGUCAUCGUGGAGGGGCUCAGCCCCCCGAGCGAGAGGCGGCCGCAGUGAAGAGGCCCAAGCGACUGUUUACCAAAAACACAGGACUCUGCACAAGCCGAAAGGCGACGCAUAGGGUCUGACGCCUGCCCGGUGCCGGAAGGUCACGCGGAGGGGUCAGCGCGCGAGCGCGAAGCCCCGAAGCCAAGCCCCGGUAAACGGCGGCCGUAACUAUAACGGUCCUAAGGUAGCGAAAUUCCUUGUCGGGUAAGUUCCGACCUGCACGAACGGCGCAACGACUUGGGCGCUGUCUCGACCAUGGUCCCGGUGAAAUUGCACUGGUCGUGAAGAUGCGACCUUCCCGCGGAAGGACGGAAAGACCCCGUGAACCUUCACUGCAGCUUGGCAUUGGCCGCCGAGCGCGCGCGUAGAGGAUAGGUGGGAGGCAUCGAUGCCGGGGCGCCAGCCCCGGCGGAGCCGCCCUUGGAAUACCACCCCCGCGCGCCCGGCGUCCUAACCUGCGGCCGCGAUCCGGCGCAGGGACCGUGCCAGGUGGGCAGUUUGACUGGGGCGGUCGCCUCCUAAAGAGUAACGGAGGCGCGCGAAGGUCCGCUCGGGACGGUCGGCAACCGUCCUUGAGAGUGCAAGAGCGCAAGCGGGCCUGACUGCGAGACGGACACGUCGAGCAGAUGCGAAAGCAGGCUCUAGUGAUCCGGCGGCCCCAUGUGGGCGGGCCGUCGCUCAACGGAUAAAAGGUACUCCGGGGAUAACAGGCUGAUCUUGCCCAAGAGUCCACAUCGACGGCAAGGUUUGGCACCUCGAUGUCGGCUCAUCGCAUCCUGGGGCUGGAGCAGGUCCCAAGGGUACGGCUGUUCGCCGUUUAAAGCGGUACGCGAGCUGGGUUCAGAACGUCGUGAGACAGUUCGGUCCCUAUCCUCCGCGGGCGCAGGAGAAUCGAGGGAGGCUGCCCCCAGUACGAGAGGACCGGGGUGGACGGACCUCCGGUGCACGGGUUGUCGACCAACGGCAUCGCCCGGUAGCCGCGUCCGGCACGGAUAACCGCUGAAGGCAUAUAAGCGGGAAGCCGUUCCCGAGAUGAGUUCUCCUUAUGGUAAGGGCCCAGGCAGAACACCUGGUCGAUAGGCCGCAGGUGCAAGGGGCGCGAGCCCCUCAGCCGAGCGGCACUAAUCGCCCGAGCUCUUACCCGCA
Coriobacterium glomerans PW2 is the source of this 2991-nucleotide ribosomal RNA. It matches the Rfam family "Bacterial large subunit ribosomal RNA". The record is from Rfam. NCBI's taxonomy places the organism in Bacteria, Bacillati, Actinomycetota, Coriobacteriia, Coriobacteriales, Coriobacteriaceae.